UGCUCCUUCUUGGUCUCUUGCUGGCUCUUCUUUCUUCCUCCUCCGCCUAACUUUGAAAUGUUGGAGGUUCUCAUAGACCAGUUCUCUCUCUGAAAUCUGCUUAGAUAAUCUCAUCUAGCCCCAAGGUUUUAAGAGCACAGAUGAAUAUCUGAAAGAAUGUUGUUCUUCAUUUGUUCAUUUGUUCCUUAUUGGAAUUUGUUCCUCCUUACUGGAAUUUUACUUCACAAAGAGAUGGUGGUUCUCUGUGGUGUUCAACCUGUGGAACCUCAGCCUCCAGAAACCUGCCUCGCAGCCACAGGCUCAAUAAAUACACUGACUGAAUCAGUGUUUGAAUGUCUCUGGGCUCAUUUCUGCGAAUAAAGUCAUAAACAACCAA
Long non-coding RNA from Felis catus (domestic cat), 376 nucleotides. RefSeq lists it as uncharacterized. The record is from RefSeq and is a predicted model, not a curated record. The transcript is spliced from 2 exons. NCBI's taxonomy places the organism in Eukaryota, Metazoa, Chordata, Mammalia, Carnivora, Felidae.